UGAGAUUGAUCUGCAUGGUUCGUAGGGACGAAGCUAGGAUUUAAAUUUUGAGAGCACCAAUAAUAAGUUAUAUAAAAAAUAUUUUUAUUUUUAAAAAAAUUAUAAAGUAAAGUACGAUAAACGAUUCCAUGUACAGAAAGAAAGAAAGAAAAUAAUAACAAAGUUUGCUUGUCAGUUAAAAUUGGAAAAAACUUCAAAUACACCGCCUAUGUGGUUUCGUAUUUUUUUACUUUAGUACUCUGUCGUUUAAAGUGUAUCAAGUCAGUACCUUGUAGUUUCGCACUUUCUCACUUUAGUAUCCUGUGGUUUAAAGUGUAUCAAGUUUACACUGUGGUUUCAUUUUUGUAUCAAAUUAGUACUCUGUGGUUUCAUUUUCUCUUUUUAUUAUCUAUUUCGAGGUAUUUUUUUUCAUUAAAUCAGUGACAAAGUUAAAACUAAAGGGUACUAAAAUAAAUAUUCGAUAAACCUAGGUAGGGUAUCUAAAAUUUUUUGUAUAUAAUUUAACGAAAUAUUAAACCACAUAAUACUAAAGUAAAAAAGUGCGAAACCACAAGAUACUAACUUGAUACACUUUAAACCACAUGAUACGCUUGUUUAAGGCCUAGAAAUGCAAUUUUUUGAGUUACUAAAGUGAGAAAGUGCAAAACCACAUGGUACUAACUUGAUACACUUUAAACCACAUGAUACGCUUGUUUAAGGCCUAGAAAUGCAAUUUUUUGAGUUACUAAAGUGAGAAAGUGCAAAACCACAUGGUACUAACUUGAUACACUUUAAACUACAGAAUGCUAAAGUGAGAAGAGAAAGUGUGAACCACAGGAGGGGUAUUUAAAGUUUUCCCUUAGGGUACGUUUGGUUCGAGUUAUCCUGACAGGAUUACAGGCAAUCCUGCCAGGAUAACUGUGUUUGGUUAAUACACUAUGUAAUCUAGUCGUUAAUGUAGCAUUACAAAUCGAGCAUGAUUACAUCAAAAAUAUUAACGGGAGCGGGGUCGUGUAUCUUGCAUUACUGAAACCCGUUAAUACUACAUGUAAAAUGAUAAUUUUACCCUCCAACAACCCCAAAUCUAAUUAACAGCAUUAUUUUCAUCUCUCUCUCGCCUUCCCUCCUCUCUCUCGCAUGCCGCUUUCUCUCGCGCUCUCUCUCUCUCUCUCUCUCGUACGUCUCUCUCUCUCUCUCUUUCUCUAUCUCUAUCUCUUUCUCUCUCUUUCUCUCUCUCUCUCUCGCAUGACCAUCUAUCAUCUUCUAUUGCGUCGUCCUUCCAGGUAAUCAUCAUGAUCUCCUUCCCUCCAUUCAUCAUUUUCGCAAAAAAUGAUAUUCAAAUGACCACAACAAGGACAAUUUUGAAAAAAAUUAUAUUUUUAUGUCAGGAUUACUAAAUUUUAUAAACUGAACCAAACGUAUUAAUAAUAUAAACACUGUAAUCUAGUAUUACAUUACUGCAUUAAACCAAACGCGCUAAUACAGCAUCAGUAGUAAUCUCAAGCCCAAAUCCAAGAUAUCUGGAUAUGUCGUACUUUGUAAUAUUACAUAACUCGAACCAAACGAGCCCUUAAGAUUAUACUCUGACUUACCUUCAAGUCACGACAUAAUUAAAUCAAUAAAUUUUUUUUUGGACAAUCUAUCAAUAUUUAU
This 1632-nucleotide long non-coding RNA is filed under the name Ananas comosus (pineapple). RNAcentral's name for it is "long non-coding RNA (ACOM_LNC002342)". Lineage: Eukaryota; Viridiplantae; Streptophyta; Magnoliopsida; Poales; Bromeliaceae. The record is from RNAcentral.